Molecule: ribosomal RNA, 313 nt
Filed under: uncultured Arcobacter sp.
Lineage: Bacteria; Pseudomonadati; Campylobacterota; Epsilonproteobacteria; Campylobacterales; Arcobacteraceae
Description: bacterial SSU rRNA
Rfam family: Bacterial small subunit ribosomal RNA
Source: RNAcentral
AGUGAACGCUGGCGGCGUGCUUAACACAUGCAAGUCGAACGAGAACGGGUUAUAGCUUGCUAUAAUUGUCAGCUAAGUGGCGCACGGGUGAGUAAUGUAUAGGUAACAUGCCUUCGAGAAGGGGAUAACGUUUGGAAACGAACGCUAAUACCCUAUAUGCCUUUAAGUCUUAAGACUGCAAGGGAAAUAUUUAUAGCUCGAAGAUUGGCCUGUACAGUAUCAGUUAGUUGGUGAGGUAAUGGCUCACCAAGACAAUGACGCUUAACUGGUUUGAGAGGAUGAUCAGUCACACUGGAACUGAGACACGGUCCAG